This 3563-nucleotide long non-coding RNA is filed under the name Canis lupus familiaris (dog). RNAcentral describes it as "lncRNA (ENSCAFG00000050282.1)". Lineage: Eukaryota; Metazoa; Chordata; Mammalia; Carnivora; Canidae. The record is from RNAcentral.
UUCAUAAAUAUUUUUCUUGCUAAAAUUGAGGCUUCAGUAUAUGCCUCUUGACCUGGGUUCACAUUUUAUAGCUGAAAAAAAUACAUAAAACCCCAAAGGAAAUCAUAGCCAAAUUGUUGAGUUUUAGUUGGUUUUAGGUCAGAGGGCAAGAAUCCAUUGAAUUUUAUGUACUUUUCAUCUAAAAUAAAGAAAUAUCCAAGUUUGCCUAAAGCUUGGCCCUAAUUCCUCCACUAUAUCUGGAGCCAAAUUUUUCAGUUAAUCUGGCACAAAAAUAGAGUUUUUAAUGACACCUAAGACUAGGUGAUUUUUUUUUCUAGGUGAUUUUUUUAAUGAUUUUGAUGCUAAAUUUCAUAAGGCUAUCAAAAAUAAAAACUGUCCAUUGCCCAAAUAUUGACUUGAUGAUAUUUAAAGACACAAAAUAAAAUUUCUUAGAGUAAGCUAUCAUACAGAACAAUUCCUUUGUUCUUAAAACUGGUGGUUUCCCCAAAGUAGGCAUAUAAUAAUUACAUGCUUCCAUGGGGCUGAGGUCUCAGUUAAGGCUUUGAAACAUAGAAUCAAAGUUCAAAUAUUCCUUUCCUAGUUAGUGAUUUCUUCCAUCCAAAUUUCAUAAGCCAAGGUCAAUAAGAAUAAAAUGUAUGAGUGAAUGGAGGUUUUGAAGCAACAGAUUAUUUAUACUUUGGUUGUGAUUAAGACAUAAGGUGGAGAAGUAAAACGAAAUUCUAUAAACUGACUUCAUGAAGGCUAAUGGACUAGACAUUCCAACAGGAACAUAAUUUAUCUUAGUUCUAAAGCAUUACUAAAUUACUGAGAACUAGAGCUUGAUUCCCUAUCAGGGUGAAAAUAGUAAAAGACAAAUUUAAGCCAGGCUAUCCUCCUCCCAAGAUAUACUUACAUUCUAGAUAUUUCCACCUGGGAUUAAGUUAACAAAUCUAUAUAGCAAGCUGUUUCCAUGUUGCCAACAUAUUUACCACAGGAGACAUGAAUUUCUGUCCCUCAAAAUGUAUAGUUUAAGUUAAUCAAGAAAGCCCAAAUAGAUAAGGGACUACCAGAACAGAAAGUAAUCCAUAUUCCGAAUGCUAGAUGGAACAGAAUAGAAUAAGGUUUUAGAUAAUGUAAAAAGCAAAACAGAACACACACACACACAGUAGCUAAAUUUUAGUAACAAAUAGGUCCUGAGUCAGAGACUCAUUGACUCAUAUUCUACUCUCAAUAAAUGACUACUACUUACAGACACUGUGUGAGGUUGUAGAAAGUCAAUGACAGAAUUCAAACCCUGUACGUAAAAGAUCAAUGGGAGACACCAGUGUAUACAGAGGGAGAAAAGAUGAUAGAACUCAGGAAGCAGUAGUAGUAUGUUCAAGGUCCAAUGAAAGCACAGAAUGAAGGCACCAACAGGCACCAGCAUGGGAGUGGGUGAGGGGGUCUGCUUGAAGGAAGCUUGGACACUAGCCUCAUAAAAAGGAAAGGGAGGCCGUGCUAGGAGGAGAAAGAAUAUGAACAACAGAAACAGUGUGUUUCAAUGAGCAAAUUUUGGGGUCUAGAGGCAGGGUAGGGAUCAAGAAAUAAACAGAAAUACUGUUGAGAAGCACUGGGAGGUAAGGAUGGAUAGCUAAGGUGGGGCUGGAUCUGGACUGUGUUUUGGGUUGAGUGGUAGCUCCCCUCAAGGUAUGUCCAUGUCUUAAUCCCCAGGACCUGCCAAGGUACCUUAUAUCAGAAAAUGGUCUUUGCGAAUCUAUAAUUAUAAUUAAGGAUCUUGAGAUAAAAUCAUUCUGGAUUAUCUGGGUGGACCCCAAAACCAAUGACAACUCUCCGUAUAAGAGAGAGGCAGAAGAAUAUUUGACACAGAGGAGAAAGCCCCGAGAAGAGAAAGUUAUGAAGAUGGAUGCAGAAAUUGGGAUUUUGCAGCCAUGAGUCAAGAAAUGCCAACAGCUACCAGAAACCGAGAGAGGCAAAGAACAGAUCCUCCACCAGAGCCUUCAGAGAAAGCAUGGCCGGCCUUACUGACACCUUGAUUUGGGAAUUCUGCCUUCCAGAACUGUGAAAUAGAAUUCUGUUGUUUUAAGCCACCAGGUUGUGGUAGUUUGUUAUGACAUCCCUAGGAAAUGAUAGAGGGCCUUGUGCUUCCUCACUGAUUCUAGUCUUGCUCUGAUGGGCAAUUAUUUUUGUUUUUCUGGAGCUGGAGUGGUUUAAAAGUAAAAUAAAAGGCUGAUAGAGAGUUAGGGGAGGGAUUAUAGGGAAGGAAAUCUGAUAGUGAGUUAUUGUAAUAAUUUAAGAAAGAGGCCAUAGGAGUGUUGUCAAAUGGCUAAUUUUCAAAAUCUUAAAACAACAGAAUUCUCAUACAGAUACAUACUAAAGAUUUACUGAACUAUUAAGGAAAUAAGCAAGAAGCAAAGCUAGUUUAUCUUGCUAGUUCAUUAUAUCGAGAUACACUGCCCAACGUAUAUAGAGUCAGUGAAACAACAAAAAGGAAUCUGAAAUGAGAUUGCUGAAUUAGAGUAACAACAACAAGAAGAACAGAUUAUUUUCCUUAAUGGCCAGAAACAUAAAUUUUGUUUAUCCUCUUCACCAGGAGGAAACCAUUUGCAUUACAACCAAAAAAAUUAAUAUGUGCACUUUCUCACUUUUCUGUAAGUUAAUAUCUAUGGUUGCCAAGUUGCAAAUGUUCUCAUGGACACCAGUAAACAUCCAGUCGAGAAAGUUAACAUUCUUAAAGCUGAUGAUCUUUAGGUGAGCUUGUUACAAAAUGCCAUAGUUCAACAGCAAAAUUCGUGCAGUUAUCUUUUUGCCUGACUUUCGAGUUUUAAAUAAUGUUUCCUUAAUAUUUGAUAUUCAAGUUAAGAACAGAGAGAAGUUUAGAUACCUGUAGCUUAGAGAUCAUGUAAAGAAAGAAUUUAUAAGACUAAUCUUUACCUCAUUGUUAAGGAGAAUUAAAUAAGUUAACAUAUGCAGAGCUCUUAGAGGAGCACCUCCUCCAAUAUUCUCCCAUUAUCUUACAUUAGGCUGAUAUAAUUUGUGUGGAAAAUCUUCUAGGAGGAUAUAUUUCAAUAAAAUACAUUUGUAUUCCUGCAUUCAAUAACAUCUGAGUAGCUACUGUGUAUAUGAACUCACGUAAAAUUUCAAGAUCUUUAUUGUAUUGCUAAGGAAAAGAAUAAAAUAUCACCUAAUAACAGUUAACUACAUUUUAGGAACUGCCAAAAUAUGUGAUUCCCUUCUACCCUAGGUCUUAUGUGUUUCUUGGAGAAUUUUCCCGUGCUGCAGGAAGUUAAUGAGACAGGAUUACAAAGCUGAUGAGAUACUCGAUUCCAAAAUGACCAGGAAGGCAUCUUGAUUUUGCUUGAGUAGAACAUAGAAAAAACAAAAUUAGGGCUUGAUGAAUUCCAUUCACAUAAUUUGUCUUCAAAACAGACUUAGUUACAACAUGAACUUCCUUGGAAAUAUGAUAUAAGCAGAGGUCUUUGUUGACAGCUGAUGAAAAAAUAUAAUGGUUUUUUUUUGGUUACAUAAAAUCGUUCAACGAUUUUGAAAGGAGCUGAAAAUGUACUAGCAAUUUCUAUUUUGUUGGC